Gekko japonicus is the source of this 75-nucleotide non-coding RNA. The record is from the annotation of a RefSeq genome assembly. NCBI's taxonomy places the organism in Eukaryota, Metazoa, Chordata, Lepidosauria, Squamata, Gekkonidae.
GGGGCUGUGGCUCAGUGGUAGAGCAUCUACUUGUCAUCAUGCAGAAGGUCCCAGGUUCAAUCCCUGGCAUCUCCA